This 73-nucleotide transfer RNA is filed under the name Stegodyphus mimosarum. It matches the Rfam family "tRNA". Rfam says of the family: Transfer RNA (tRNA) molecules are approximately 80 nucleotides in length. Their secondary structure includes four short double-helical elements and three loops (D, anti-codon, and T loops). Further hydrogen bonds mediate the characteristic L-shaped molecular structure. tRNAs have two regions of fundamental functional importance: the anti-codon, which is responsible for specific mRNA codon recognition, and the 3' end, to which the tRNAs corresponding amino acid is attached (by aminoacyl-tRNA synthetases). tRNAs cope with the degeneracy of the genetic code in two manners: having more than one tRNA (with a specific anti-codon) for a particular amino acid; and 'wobble' base-pairing, i.e. permitting non-standard base-pairing at the 3rd anti-codon position. The record is from Rfam by way of RNAcentral. Lineage: Eukaryota; Metazoa; Arthropoda; Arachnida; Araneae; Eresidae.
GCCUACGUGGUGUAGUGGUCAGCACGCUCGACGAGUAACUGAAAGGUUCGCGGUUCGAUUCCCGGCGAAGGCA